RNAcentral lists this long non-coding RNA (393 nucleotides) under Rhinopithecus bieti (black snub-nosed monkey). RNAcentral's name for it is "lncRNA (ENSRBIG00000045615.1)". The record is from RNAcentral. Lineage: Eukaryota; Metazoa; Chordata; Mammalia; Primates; Cercopithecidae.
CAGUGUUACUCAAAAUCAUUCAAAAGGAGACAGUGCUAUCUGAAGGACUGAAUAAAUGAGUGAAUUAAUACAAAAUGAUGAAAUUGAUUGAGCAAUAGAGUCUGAGAGCUGAUGGAAGAGUGGUGGUUGCCGCUGAACUUUUCUCCGAUGACCCACUGUGUUGAAGCUGUAAGUACAAAUUUUUUCCCCAGAAACACAAUAUAACAGAAGGAGGAGAAGAAAUGCCAUAGAAAGCAGUACGACAGCAGUAAAUGUGUUAGCCACGAGUGGAAUAGGAAGGACAGUGGAGGAAAUCUUUGAAAAGCAAAACUAAGCAUAAAGGCAAGUAGCCAUCAAAGGAUUAUUGAGAACAUCAACAUUUUACAAUAUAGAAAUGUGGUGCUCACAAUGUUG